CCAGCCUGGCCCCUAGACAGGUACUAUAUAUAGUAUCAGACACAUCACAGCCCAGCCUGGCCCCUAGACAGGUACUAUAUAUAGUAUCAGACACAUCACAGCCCAGCCUGGCCCCUAGACAGGUACUAUAUAUAGUAUCAGACACAUCACAGCCCAGCCUGGCCCCUAGACAGGUACUAUAUAUAGUUACAGACACAUCACAGCCCAGCCUGGCCCCUAGACAGGUACUAUAUAUAGUUACAGACACAUCACAGCCCAGCCUGGCCCCUAGACAGGUACUAUAUAUAGUAUCAGACACAUCACAGCCCAGCCUGGCCCCUAGACAGGUACUAUAUAUAGUAUCAGACACAUCACAGCCCAGCCUGGCCCCUAGACAGGUACUAUAUAUAGUAUCAGACACAUCACAGCCCAGCCUGGCCCCUAGACAGGUACUAUAUAUAGUUACAGACACAUCACAGCCCAGCCUGGCCCCUAGACAGGUACUAUAUAUAGUUACAGACACAUCACAGCCCAGCCUGGCCCCUUGACAGGUACUAUAUAUAGUAUCAGACACAUCACAGCCCAGCCUGGCCCCUAGACAGGUACUAUAUAUAGUUACACACAUCACAGCCCAGCCUGGCCCCUAGACAGGUACUAUAUAUAGUAUCAGACACAUCACAGCCCAGCCUGGCCCCUAGACAGGUACUAUAUAUAGUAUCAUUCUC
This is a long non-coding RNA of Oncorhynchus keta (chum salmon), 704 nucleotides long. RefSeq lists it as uncharacterized. The record is from RefSeq and is a predicted model, not a curated record. The transcript is spliced from 5 exons. NCBI's taxonomy places the organism in Eukaryota, Metazoa, Chordata, Actinopteri, Salmoniformes, Salmonidae.